UAGUCCACGCCGUAAACGAUGUCAACUAGCCGUUGUCUCCAUUUAAGGGGUCAGUGGCGCAGCUAACGCGAUAAGUUGACCGCCUGGGGAGUACGCCGGCAACGGUAAAACUCAAAGGAAUUGACGGGGCCCGCACAAGCAGUGGAGCAUGUGGUUUAAUUCGAAGCAACGCGCAGAACCUUACCAGGGCUAGAAAAACUGAGAAUCCUGACGAAACUCGGGAGUGCUCGCAAGAGAACUCAGGUCCAGGUGCUGCAUGGCUGUCGUCAGCUCGUGUCGUGAGAUGUUGGGUUAAGUCCCGCAACGAGCGCAACCCUUAUCCUUAGUUGCCAUCAUUUAGUUGGGCUCUCUAAGGAGACUGCCGGGGUCAACCCGGAGGAAGGUGGGGAUGACGUCAAGGUCCUCAUGGGCCCUUAUGUCCUGGGGCUACACACGUGCUACAAUGGUUGAUACAAAGCGCUGCGAAGCCGCGAGGGUGGGAGCGAAUCGCAAAAAGUCAGCCUC
Molecule: ribosomal RNA, 504 nt
Filed under: uncultured bacterium
Lineage: Bacteria
Description: bacterial SSU rRNA
Rfam family: Bacterial small subunit ribosomal RNA
Source: RNAcentral